AUGGCGAGCUCCGUCUUCUACUUCGGAGAGAUCGGAGUAAACGACUACAUCUUCGCGCUAUUCAGCAACCGCACAGCCGAGUUCGCGGCGAGCUUGGUGCCGGACAUCGUCGGCGUCACCCGCUCGGCGCUGAACGCCGUGAUCGCCGCCGGUGCGAGGACGGUGCUGGUGACGGGGAUGAUCCCGCUGGGGUGCGAGCCGGAGCUGCUCGCCCUCUUCCCCGGCGACGCGCACGGGGAGUCCGGCUGCAUCACGGGCUUCAACGAGGUCGCUCAGCUGCACAACCGCGCGCUGAACCGCAUGCUCCGCGAGCUCCGGCGGAGCCACCCCGGCACCACCCUCUUCUACGCCGACACCUACAGCCCCAUCGCCAACCUCGUCGCCUCGCCCGGCAAAUACGGUUUCGGCGACAGGCCGUUGGCCGCGUUCUGCGGCGGCGGCGCUGGGCCGUACCACUUCGACAUGGCGGCGUUCUGCGGCACGCCGGACUCGACGGGGAGCUCUGACCCGUCCGAGUUCCUCUCGUGGGACGGCAUCCACUUCACCGACGCUGCCAACAGGUUCAUCGCCCAGGCGCUGCUCAGAGGAUUGUAUAACGCGUCGGCGAUGGCAGAGCCGCAAACUGCACUGCUCUGA
This 636-nucleotide ribosomal RNA is filed under the name Triticum aestivum (bread wheat). Its description in RNAcentral is "partial small subunit ribosomal RNA". The record is from RNAcentral. Lineage: Eukaryota; Viridiplantae; Streptophyta; Magnoliopsida; Poales; Poaceae.